RNAcentral lists this non-coding RNA (162 nucleotides) under Candidatus Massilimicrobiota merdigallinarum. RNAcentral describes it as "Lysine riboswitch". It matches the Rfam family "Lysine riboswitch aptamer". From Rfam's summary of the family: Riboswitches are metabolite binding domains within certain messenger RNAs that serve as precision sensors for their corresponding targets. Allosteric rearrangement of mRNA structure is mediated by ligand binding, and this results in modulation of gene expression. The record is from RNAcentral. Lineage: Bacteria; Bacillati; Bacillota; Erysipelotrichia; Erysipelotrichales; Erysipelotrichaceae.
AAAGAUAGAGGUGCAAGAGUUAAGAGUUCUUUUAUCAAUAGAUGCAACUAAAAAGAAGGAGGAACGAUUGCCGAAGGAAUAAUUAUUUGCAUGUGAUUAUUGCCUGGGGGUAUAGAGAAUAUCUAUAUCACUGUCACUUUGUAAUGAAGUGGUGUGCUAUUG